UACGUAGGCAGCGAGCGUUGUUCGGAGUUACUGGGCGUAAAGGGUGUGUAGGCGGUUGUUUAAGUUUGGUGUGAAAUCUCCCGGCUCAACUGGGAGGGUGCGCCGAAUACUGAAUGACUUCGAGUGCGGGAGAGGAAAGUGGAAUUCCUGGUGUAGCGGUGAAAUGCGUAGAUAUCAGGAGGAACACCGGUGGUGUAGACGGCUUUCUGGACCGUAACUGACGCUGAGACACGAAAGCGUGGGUAGCAAACAGG
This 254-nucleotide ribosomal RNA is filed under the name uncultured bacterium. RNAcentral describes it as "partial 16S ribosomal RNA". It matches the Rfam family "Bacterial small subunit ribosomal RNA", at positions 524 to 776 of the family's 1533-position model. RNAcentral also lists the same sequence under 1 other name. The record is from RNAcentral.